RNAcentral lists this ribosomal RNA (834 nucleotides) under Triticum aestivum (bread wheat). Its description in RNAcentral is "partial small subunit ribosomal RNA". Lineage: Eukaryota; Viridiplantae; Streptophyta; Magnoliopsida; Poales; Poaceae. The record is from RNAcentral.
AUGCUUGAUGAAUUGAGUGGCUCUACAAUUUUUUCCAAAGUUGAUUUGCGUAGUGGAUACCAUCAAAUUCGUAUGAAAUUGGAAGAUGAAUGGAAAACAACAUUUAAAACUAAAUUUGGAUUAUAUGAGUGGUUAGUCAUGCAUUUUGGGUUAACUAAUGCACCUAGUACUUUCAUGAGAUUAAUGAACGAAGUUUUACGUGCUUUCAUUGGACGAUUUGUGGUAGUCUAUUUUGAUGAUAUACUGAUUUAUAGCAGAUCUUUGGAGGAACAUUUGGGACAUUUACGUGUUGUUUUUAUUGCUCUACGUGAUGCACGUUUGUUUGGUAACCUUGGGAAGUGCACCUUCUGCACCGACCGAGUAUCUUUUCUUGGCUAUGUUGUUAAUCCACAGGGAAUUGAAGUUGAUAAAGCCAAGAUUGAAGCUAUUGAGAGUUGUCCGCAGCCCAAAACGGUCACACAAGUGAGGAGUUUUCUUGGCCUCGCUGGAUUCUAUAGGCGUUUUGUGAGAGAUUUCAGCACCAUUGCUGCACCUCUCAAUGAGCUUACAAAGAAGGAUGUACCUUUUGUUUGGGGUACCGCACAGGAAGAAGCCUUCACGGUAUUGAAAGAUAAAUUGACACAUUCUCCUUUACUCCAACUUCCUAAUUUUAAUAAGACUUUUGAGCUUGAAUGUGAUGCUAGUGGAAUUGGAUUGGGAGGUGUGUUAUUACAAGAUGGCAAACCUGUUGCAUACUUUUCUGAAAAAUUGAGUGGGCCUAGUCUGAAUUAUUCUACUUAUGAUAAAGAAUUAUAUGCUCUUGUUCGGACUUUAGAAACUUGGCAACAUUAUUAA